UACAGAGGUCUCAAGCGUUGUUCGGAUUCAUUGGGCGUAAAGCGCGUGUAGGCGGCCCGUUAAGUCCGCUGUGAAAGUCCAGGGCUCAACCCUGGGAUGCCGGUGGAUACUGUCGGGCUCGAGUCCGGAAGAGGCGAGUGGAAUUCCUGGUGUAGCGGUGAAAUGCGCAGAUAUCAGGAGGAACACCAAUGGCGAAGGCAGCUCGCUGGGACGUGACUGACGCUGAGACGCGAAAGCGUGGGGAGCAAACAGG
This 253-nucleotide ribosomal RNA is filed under the name uncultured bacterium. Its description in RNAcentral is "partial 16S ribosomal RNA". It matches the Rfam family "Bacterial small subunit ribosomal RNA", at positions 524 to 776 of the family's 1533-position model. The record is from RNAcentral.